Molecule: ribosomal RNA, 497 nt
Filed under: uncultured bacterium
Lineage: Bacteria
Description: partial 16S ribosomal RNA
Rfam family: Bacterial small subunit ribosomal RNA
Source: RNAcentral
GAUGAACGCUGGCGGCGUGCCUAAUACAUGCAAGUCGAGCGAACAGAUGAGGAGCUUGCUCCUCUGACGUUAGCGGCGGACGGGUGAGUAACACGUGGAUAACCUACCUAUAAGACUGGGAUAACUUCGGGAAACCGGAGCUAAUACCGGAUAAUAUAUUGAACCGCAUGGUUCAAUAGUGAAAGACGGUUUUGCUGUCACUUAUAGAUAGAUCCGCGCCGCAUUAGCUAGUUGGUAAGGUAACGGCUUACCAAGGCAACGAUGCGUAGCCGACCUGAGAGGGUGAUCGGCCACACUGGAACUGAGACACGGUCCAGACUCCUACGGGAGGCAGCAGUAGGGAAUCUUCCGCAACGGGCGAAAGCCUGACGGAGCAACGCCGCGUGAGUGAUGAAGGUCUUCGGAUCGUAAAACUCUGUUAUUAGGGAAGAACAAAUGUGUAAGUAACUAUGCACGUCUUGACGGUACCUAAUCAGAAAGCCACGGCUAACUACGUG